GACGCUGCUGAUUGGCUGGCACGUUGCCAGAACUCUGUCAAUCACCGAGUGUAAACAAGGCUCUGAUUGGCUGCUGGCCAGUCCGCACUGGGCUGCCUGAAAAAAGCAAUUACUGCCCCUGCGGUUUCAAGGCGGCCCCGCGCUGAACGAUGAAAGGAGAUAAGGAGGGGCGGUUUCAAGGCGACCCCCCCACGGCGAACCCCGUUGGCCCCAGAGCAAAAGGAGAGUCAAGAGUGACUAAAUCAAAGGGAAUACGAAAAUGGAGGAGAGAACGGCAACAAGGACCGGAAAACAGCUCUCGCUCUGCCUCGGGGAGCUCCUUCUCACCAACACGGAGAGAAAAGUUUGUGUCGACAAAGGAGACGGUGGACGCAGAGCGAUGGGAACCACAACCAACAAGCAGCAAAGGCACAGAAGAAGAAAAAGACAUGAUGGAGUCAUAAGUUGACUGGACACAAAAACAACAUGACCUUUUUUUUCUCUGUGUGCGCAGGGCUGAUGCUGCUCUCUCUGAUCGGCCCUGACACAUGUAGACUCAGGACGGAUCAUGCAUUGUGAAAUGCUUGGCAUGAAAAAGAUCAAAAACGCUGUACCCCUCCUUAGAGCGCUUUAAAAGACUCCAAACUGUUGGAUGAGGAUGAGGGUGCAGUAGAAGAAGAUGAGGAUUGGGAUAUUGAUGGUGGCGAGGGAAAAAAAGCUUGGGCAACAAAUUAGUGCCUGUCACACAGCCAUGUAUCCGGCUGUAACCACCACCAGGCCUGUAUGGAUGAGAUGAAAGCCUCCAUUUAUGGACCAUCAAAACACGCAGGUGGAGGCUUUAAUUAUCAUUUGAACAUAAACAGCCAUAGCGUGCCGUUCUGCGCGUGUUUGCACCGUAAGCUUAUGUAGUUUCUAUUCAAACAGCAGUAGGUCAUUUCAUCUUUUCUGAACAGACCAGAUCGUGAAAUGUUGAUAUUAUACACAA
This is a long non-coding RNA of Etheostoma cragini (Arkansas darter), 964 nucleotides long. RefSeq lists it as uncharacterized. The transcript has 3 exons. NCBI's taxonomy places the organism in Eukaryota, Metazoa, Chordata, Actinopteri, Perciformes, Percidae. The record is from RefSeq and is a predicted model, not a curated record.